GAAUAGUAGUAAACUGGCGAACGGGUGAGUAACACGUAGGUAACCUACCCUAGAGAUCGGGAUAACUUCGGGAAACCGGAGCUAAUACCGAAUGAUGCAGCGGGCCCUUUGGGGCACAGUUGUUAAAGCGGGCUUCGGCUCGUACUUUAGGAUGGGCCUGCGGCCGAUUAGCUUGUUGGUGGGGUAAUGGCCUACCAAGGCGAUGAUCGGUAGCUGGUCUGAGAGGAUGAUCAGUCACACUGGGAUUGAGAUACGGCUCAGACCUCUACGGGGGGCAGCAGUAGGGAAUUUUGCGCAAUGGGCGAAAGCCUGACGCAGCAACGCCGCGUGAUCGAUGAAGCUUCUAGGAGCGUAAAGAUCUGUCGUGAGGGAAGAAAAAUUCGGAGGUAAAUAAUUUUCGUUUUUGACGGUACCUCACAAGAAAGCACCGGCUAACUUCGUGCCAGCAGCCGCGGUAAUACGAGGGGUGCUAGCGUUGUCCGGAAUCAUUGGGCGUAAAGGGUCCGUAGGCGGUUUAACAAGUCAAUUGUUAAAGACAUCGGCUUAACCGAUGAAGUGCAGUUGAAACUGUUAGAAUAGAGUUUAGGAGAGGAAAGUGGAAUUUCUGGUGUAGCGGUGACAUGCGUAGAUAUCAGAAGGAACACCAAUGG
This 650-nucleotide ribosomal RNA is filed under the name uncultured marine bacterium. Its description in RNAcentral is "bacterial SSU rRNA". It matches the Rfam family "Bacterial small subunit ribosomal RNA", at positions 82 to 715 of the family's 1533-position model. The record is from RNAcentral.